Molecule: ribosomal RNA, 31 nt
Filed under: Alternaria scirpicola
Lineage: Eukaryota; Fungi; Ascomycota; Dothideomycetes; Pleosporales; Pleosporaceae
Description: partial 18S ribosomal RNA
Source: RNAcentral
UCUCCGUAGGUGAACCUGCGGNGGAUCAUUA